GAUGAACGCUAGCGGCAGGCUUAAUACAUGCAAGUCGUGGGGCAGCAGGACUGUAGCAAUACAGUUGCUGGCGACCGGCAAACGGGUGCGGAACACGUACGCAACUUACCCUAAACUGGGGGAAAGCCGGGGAAACCCCGGUAUAAUACCCCGAAAUAUAAUGGAGUGUCAUCACUUAAUUAUAAAAGCUCCUGCGGUCCGGGAUGGGCGUGCGCUUGAUUAGUUAGUUGGUUGAGGUAACGGCUCACCAACCCUACGAUCAGUAACUGGUGUGAUAGCACGACCAGUUACAAGGGAACUGAGACCCAGGCCCGAAUGCUACGGGAGGCAGCAGUAAGGAAUAUUGGGCAAGGGAGGCAACUCUGACCCAGCCAUGCCGGGUGGAGGAUGAAGGCCCUCUGGGUUGUAAACUUCUUUUAUAGGGGACGAAACCUGUGUAUUCUUACGCAGUUGACGGUACCCUAGGAAUAAGCACCGGCUAACUCCGUG
This 489-nucleotide ribosomal RNA is filed under the name uncultured bacterium. Its description in RNAcentral is "partial 16S ribosomal RNA". It matches the Rfam family "Bacterial small subunit ribosomal RNA", at positions 28 to 507 of the family's 1533-position model. The record is from RNAcentral.